RNAcentral lists this transfer RNA (69 nucleotides) under Parevania sp. ZJUH_2016024. RNAcentral describes it as "tRNA-Gln". The record is from RNAcentral. Lineage: Eukaryota; Metazoa; Arthropoda; Insecta; Hymenoptera; Evaniidae.
UAUAAUUUAAUGUAGGAUGCAUUUAAUUUUUUGAAAAUUACUGAUAAAGUCUAAUUCUUUAAAUUAUAA